RNAcentral lists this ribosomal RNA (375 nucleotides) under uncultured bacterium. RNAcentral describes it as "bacterial SSU rRNA". It matches the Rfam family "Bacterial small subunit ribosomal RNA", at positions 521 to 896 of the family's 1533-position model. The record is from RNAcentral.
UAAUACGAGAGGCCCAAACGUUAUUCGGAAUUACUGGGCUUACAGAGUUCGUAGGCGGCUCAGAAAGUUGGGUGUGAAAUCCCUCGGCCCAACCGAGGAAUUGCGCUCAAAACUACUGAGCUUGAGGGGUAUAGAGGUAAGCGGAACUGAUGGUGGAGCGGUGAAAUGCGUUGAUAUCAUCAGGAACACCGGUGGCGAAGGCGGCUUACUGGGUACCUCCUGACGCUGAGGAACGAAAGCUAGGGGAGCGAACGGGAUUAGAUACCCCGGUAGUCCUAGCUGUAAACGAUGAGCACUGGGUCGAGGGACUGUCCAGUUUCUCGGCCGUAGCGAAAGUGUUAAGUGCUCCGCCUGGGGAGUAUGGUCGCAAGGCUG